This 492-nucleotide ribosomal RNA is filed under the name uncultured bacterium. Its description in RNAcentral is "partial 16S ribosomal RNA". It matches the Rfam family "Bacterial small subunit ribosomal RNA", at positions 29 to 507 of the family's 1533-position model. The record is from RNAcentral.
AGUGAACGCUGGCGGUAGGCCUAACACAUGCAAGUCGAACGGCAGCACAGUAAGAGCUUGCUCUUACGGGUGGCGAGUGGCGGACGGGUGAGGAAUACAUCGGAAUCUACUUUUUCGUGGGGGAUAACGUAGGGAAACUUACGCUAAUACAGCAUACGACCUACGGGUGAAAGCAGGGGAUCUUCGCACCUUGCGCGAUUGAAUGAGCCGAUGUCGGAUUAGCUAGUUGGCGGGGUAAAGGCCCACCAAGGCGACGAUCCGUAGCUGGUCUGAGAGGAUGAUCAGCCACACUGGAACUGAGACACGGUCCACACUCCUACGGGAGGCAGCAGUGGGGAAUAUUGGACAAUGGGCGCAAGCCUGAUCCAGCCAUACCGCGUGGGUGAAGAAGGCCUUCGGGUUGUAAAGCCCUUUUGUUGGGAAAGAAAAGCAGCAGGUUAAUACCCCGCUGUUCUGACGGUACCCAAAGAAUAAGCACCGGCUAACUUCGUG